UUUCAGUGUCCAUCUGCCAGGCUAGAAUAGUGAUAGAGAUCAUGGAGGAGAAAUGCAAAGGAGGUGCAGAGAAGCUGUGGAAAAAAAAGAAACCAGCCCUUCAGGCAGACUCUGCCAAAUGUGUCAAAUUGACAGACAUGUUUUUGGCAGUAGCAGGACCUUCAUCAGCUCCCGUGGCUGAUGAUAGUGGGUAGAACCUGCGGUAAGCAGAACUCCCCUUAAAUCACUUUGCCCCUUGAUAAAACUGAGCCAAAAACAAGUGGUGGACAAACCGUUAAUGAUAACACUACAAG
Molecule: long non-coding RNA, 293 nt
Organism: Etheostoma cragini (Arkansas darter)
Lineage: Eukaryota; Metazoa; Chordata; Actinopteri; Perciformes; Percidae
Exons: 2
Source: RefSeq, a predicted model, not a curated record